GGGCCGCACGGCUAUAAUCUCAACAGGCGAAAGCCUGACGCAGCACUGCCGUCUUGAGUGAUGAAGGCCCUCGGGUCGUAAAGCUCUGUCAGAGGGGAAGAACCUCCAAUCGGUUAAUAUCCGGUUGGCCUGACGGUACCCUCAAAGGAAGCACCGGCUAACUCCGUGCCAACAGCCGCGGUAAUACGGAGGGUGCAAGCGUAGUUCGGAAUUAUUGGGCGUAAAGCGCGUGUAGGCGGGUGUUUAAGUCUGAUGUGAAAUCCCUGGGCUCAACCCGGGAAAUUGCAUUGGAAACUGGACAGCUUGAAGUACGGGAGAGGGUAGUGGAAUUCCGAGUGUAGGGGUGAAAUCCGUAGAUAUUCGGAGGAACACCGGUGGCGAAGGCGGCUACCUGGACCGAUACUGACGCUGAGACGCGAAAGCGUGGGGAGCAAACAGGAUUAGAUACCCUGGUAGUCCACGCCNGUAAACGAU
This 474-nucleotide ribosomal RNA is filed under the name uncultured prokaryote. RNAcentral describes it as "bacterial SSU rRNA". It matches the Rfam family "Bacterial small subunit ribosomal RNA", at positions 346 to 810 of the family's 1533-position model. The record is from RNAcentral.